RNAcentral lists this ribosomal RNA (366 nucleotides) under uncultured microorganism. RNAcentral describes it as "bacterial SSU rRNA". It matches the Rfam family "Bacterial small subunit ribosomal RNA", at positions 9 to 369 of the family's 1533-position model. The record is from RNAcentral.
GAGUUUGAUCGUGGCUCAGAUUGAACGCUGGCGGCAUGCCUAACACAUGCAAGUCGAACGGCAGCACUGGGAGCUUGCUCCCUGGUGGCGAGUGGCGGACGGGUGAGUAACGCGUAGGAAUCUGCCUCAUAGCGGGGGACAACUCGGGAAACUCGAGCUAAUACCGCAUACUACUCGAGAGAGGAAAGCAGGGGACCUUCGGGCCGUUGCACUAUGAGAUGAGCCUGCGUUGGAUUAGCUAGUUGGUAGGGUAAAGGCCUACCAAGGCGACGAUCCAUAACUGGUUUGUAGAGGAUGACCAGUCACACUGGGACUGAGACACGGCCCAGACUCCUACCGGGAGGCAGCAGUGGGGAAGUAUUGGAC